This 67-nucleotide transfer RNA is filed under the name Baltalimania ylvae. RNAcentral describes it as "tRNA-Ser". The record is from RNAcentral. Lineage: Eukaryota; Metazoa; Xenacoelomorpha; Acoela; Isodiametridae.
AAGAAAGUGGCAGAUUAAUGCACUUAAUUUGAGCUUAAGUUAUAGAAAAUUAUUUUCUCUUUCUUAU